Molecule: long non-coding RNA, 261 nt
Organism: Bombina bombina (fire-bellied toad)
Lineage: Eukaryota; Metazoa; Chordata; Amphibia; Anura; Bombinatoridae
Exons: 3
Source: RefSeq, a predicted model, not a curated record
GACUACAUUUCCCAGAAGCCUCUACCACAUGAUUGCAGUUACUUCCGGUUUGACGAUCUGCAGCAGCUCAAGCUGAUCUCUCUCACUUACAGACAGGAAUGGAUUCCUAACUCCCAGUUCACUUAAUUAAGUAACUACACAGAACUCAUAUGCAGAAUUUUGCUCAGGAUUGAAGCUCAUUCAGGGGGAGUCCGGCCUACAUCAGAGUGGCAGACCUACAGAAGGUCUGUUGGCGGUUUGUGGGGCAAUGAUGAAAGCGGC